CCGUGAAUACGUUCCCGGGCCUUGUACACACCGCCCGUCACAUCACGAAAGUGGAUUGUACUAGAAGUUCCCCGUUAAAGGACCCAAGGUAUGAUUCAUGAUUGGGGUG
RNAcentral lists this ribosomal RNA (109 nucleotides) under uncultured bacterium. RNAcentral's name for it is "partial 16S ribosomal RNA". It matches the Rfam family "Bacterial small subunit ribosomal RNA", at positions 1360 to 1482 of the family's 1533-position model. The record is from RNAcentral.